GAGGGUAUAGCUCAAGUGGCAGAGCAAAUGCUUAGCAUGCAGGAGGUCCUGGUUUCAAUCCCCAGUACCUUCU
RNAcentral lists this transfer RNA (73 nucleotides) under Camelus bactrianus (Bactrian camel). It matches the Rfam family "tRNA". Rfam says of the family: Transfer RNA (tRNA) molecules are approximately 80 nucleotides in length. Their secondary structure includes four short double-helical elements and three loops (D, anti-codon, and T loops). Lineage: Eukaryota; Metazoa; Chordata; Mammalia; Artiodactyla; Camelidae. The record is from Rfam by way of RNAcentral. RNAcentral also lists the same sequence under 1 other name.